RNAcentral lists this ribosomal RNA (377 nucleotides) under uncultured organism. RNAcentral's name for it is "partial 16S ribosomal RNA". It matches the Rfam family "Bacterial small subunit ribosomal RNA", at positions 527 to 897 of the family's 1533-position model. The record is from RNAcentral.
GUAGGUGGCAAGCGUUGUCCGGGAAUUAUUGGGGCGUAAAGCGCGCGCAGGCGGUUCUUUAAGUCUGAUGUGAAAGCCCACGGGCUCAACCGUGGGAGGGUCAUUGGAAACUGGAGAACUUGAGUACAGAAGAGGAAAGCGGAAUUCCACGUGUAGCGGUGAAAUGCGUAGAGAUGUGGAGGAACACCAGUGGCGAAGGCGGCUUUCUGGUCUGUAACUGACGCUGAGGCGCGAAAGCGUGGGGAGCAAACAGGAUGAGAUACCCUGGUAGUCCACGCCGUAAACGAUGAGUGCUAAGUGUUAGGGGGUUUCCGCCCCUUAGUGCUGCAGCUAACGCAUUAAGCACUCCGCCUGGGGAGUACGGCCGCAAAGGCUGA